RNAcentral lists this ribosomal RNA (257 nucleotides) under uncultured bacterium. RNAcentral describes it as "partial 16S ribosomal RNA". It matches the Rfam family "Bacterial small subunit ribosomal RNA", at positions 524 to 777 of the family's 1533-position model. The record is from RNAcentral.
UACGGAGGGUGCGAGCGUUGUCCGGAAUCAUUGGGCGUAAAGGGCGCGUAGGUGGCCCCUCAAGCGUGCGGUGAAAGUCAGGGGCUCAACCCCUGAUCGGCCGUGCGAACUGGGGAGCUUGAGCACUGUAGAGGCAGGCGGAAUUCCGGGUGUAGCGGUGGAAUGCGUAGAGAUCCGGAAGAACACCGGUGGCGAAGGCGGCCUGCUGGGCAGUUUUGCUGGACACUGAGGCGCGACAGCGUGGGGAGCAAACAGGG